This is a non-coding RNA of Irineochytrium annulatum, 82 nucleotides long. The record is from the annotation of a GenBank genome assembly. Lineage: Eukaryota; Fungi; Chytridiomycota; Chytridiomycetes; Chytridiales; Chytridiaceae.
GUCGCUUUGGCGGAGUGGUUAACGCGCUGCCCUGCUAAGGCAGUUCCCUCUGGGAGCGCAGGUUCGAAUCCUGCAGGCGACG